GAUGAACGCUGGCGGCGUGCCUAAUACAUGCAAGUCGAGCGAACAGACGAGGAGCUUGCUCCUCUGACGUUAGCGGCGGACGGGUGAGUAACACGUGGAUAACCUACCUAUAAUACUGGGAUAACUUCGGGAAACCGGAGCUAAUACCGGAUAAUAUAUUGAACCGCAUGGUGCAAUAGUGAAAGACGGUUUUGCUGUCACUUAUAGAUGGAUCCGCGCCGCAUUAGCUAGUUGGUAAGGUAACGGCUUACCAAGGCAACGAUGCGUAGCCGACCUGAGAGGGUGAUCGGCCACACUGGAACUGAGACACGCUCCAGACUCCUACGGGAGGCAGCAGUAGGGAAUCUUGCGCAAUGGGCGAAAGCCUGACGGAGCAACGCCGCGUGAGUGAUGAAGGUCUUCGGAUCGUAAAACUCUGUUAUUAGGGAAGAACAAAUGUGUAAGUAACUAUGCACGUCUUGACGGUACCUAAACAGAAAGCCACGGCUAACUACGUG
RNAcentral lists this ribosomal RNA (497 nucleotides) under uncultured bacterium. Its description in RNAcentral is "partial 16S ribosomal RNA". It matches the Rfam family "Bacterial small subunit ribosomal RNA", at positions 28 to 507 of the family's 1533-position model. The record is from RNAcentral.